Non-coding RNA from Microcebus murinus (gray mouse lemur), 435 nucleotides. Lineage: Eukaryota; Metazoa; Chordata; Mammalia; Primates; Cheirogaleidae. The record is from RefSeq and is a predicted model, not a curated record.
ACAUUCCACAGGGCAGCCGGUUACAGUAAGAGAACCCCUGAACUGCUCUUAAGUUCCUCCUGGAAAAGAUCUCCCUAGAGGGUUGCGCAAGUGCGUGAAAAGUGGAAGGCGGCCCGGGCGCAAUGCCUGCUCCCGUGAUGCCGCGGGGCGACCAAUGGAGACGGCUCCUCCCGCCCGCCGGCCCGGCCCCGGGAGCGCUUGAAUUUCCUGUGGCCACGUCUGAGUUGGAUAUAUCUACUGAGAAGAUAGAAGACUUACUUUCAUCAUCUGACUCAAAUCCAAAGAGUGUCUGACAUUUCUUUUGUGCAAGAUCUUUCAAUAUGUUGUUUCCUAAGACCUACUUAUACAACUUCACUGAGGAACUGAGCCUAAGUGCCUUCUCUCCAGACAAACAUACAGAUGACAAGGAUGAAGACCUUUAUGAUGAUCCACUGC